GUCCUUGACUCUUCAUCAACUGCUACAUUAAUAAUGAACAUAACCCUGGGAAAUUUGGGGAUUUCAUAUGGUGCGAAGAGAGGUCACUUUGAGGUAUUCAGCUGGUGGAUGGCUUCUCUUACAUGUCCCCUUGGCAGGGAUCACUAGAAGUCUGGCUCAGCUGGGGCUAUUCACCAUGGUGGCUACAUAAUGGCUUCUCCAGUAUGGUGAUUUCAGGUUAGUUGAAUUUUUACAUUAUAGCUCAAGACUAGCAAACAUAGUGUUUGAAGAAGCUUGAGUGGAAGCUUCAAGACUUAUGACCAAGAUUAGAAGUCCUGGAAUGUCACUUCUACCAUUUUCUACUGCUCAAGAAAGUCACUAAGACCAGCCCAAAUCCAAGGAGAGAGGAAUUAGAUUUCAACUCUCAACAGGAGAAGUACCAUACUAAAGACUAUAUGACCAUCUUUGGAGCACAAGAGUUGAUGAAAGAAAACACUCUCAAAGUCAAGUUUGCUGUAGCCUGUAUACCUGAAAACGGUGGGCUUGAGAGGCCGGGAAGAGAAAGAAAGAAGAGGGAUAGUAACAACCUAAACAGCAAAGACUUGGAACUUGAAAUUAAAAAGAUAUACACCUAUCUAUGUAUUUCUGAUAUGUUUGUCAUAAUUUCAACCAAAGUUCAUGAUCUAUAGAAUUUUGCAUAAAUAAAAAAUAUCAUUUGGUUAGUUUUGACUCUCAUUAAAAAUAAAUUUUGUCAACCAUCCUCUUAUUAAGAUGUUUUAGAACUAAACACACAACACAAUUAUAUCUCCACAAAAUGCCACUAGGUUUCCUAACAGAGCAUCAACCUACUUAGAUUGUGAGCUCAUCAUUUUUAUGCAUGUGUUUACAUAGAUGCUUUUUUUUCUACAGGCAGCAUGAUAUAGUGAAAAGAAUGUGAGGUUCUGAAAUUAGAAGAACUGGGCAUGACUCCUAGAAUGUACUAUCUGUUGUGUGACCUUGGGCAAGUCACUUAAUCUGUCUGAGGCUUGUUUUUCUUGCUUGUCAAAUGAAAAAUAAAUGACAGCAAUAUUUCAGAUUUGGUGUGCAGAUCAUGUAAAUAAUAUAUGCGAAAGUGCU
RNAcentral lists this long non-coding RNA (1095 nucleotides) under Homo sapiens (human). Its description in RNAcentral is "HSALNT0374165". The record is from RNAcentral. Lineage: Eukaryota; Metazoa; Chordata; Mammalia; Primates; Hominidae.